Molecule: non-coding RNA, 26 nt
Filed under: Mus musculus (house mouse)
Lineage: Eukaryota; Metazoa; Chordata; Mammalia; Rodentia; Muridae
Source: RNAcentral
AUAUGAUUAGUAGAAGGCAGGGUAAA